This 495-nucleotide ribosomal RNA is filed under the name uncultured bacterium. RNAcentral's name for it is "partial 16S ribosomal RNA". It matches the Rfam family "Bacterial small subunit ribosomal RNA", at positions 28 to 505 of the family's 1533-position model. The record is from RNAcentral.
GAUGAACGCUGGCGGCGUGCCUAAUACAUGCAAGUCGAGCGAACAGACGAGGAGCUUGCUCCUCUGACGUUAGCGGCGGGCGGGUGAGUAACACGUGUAUAACCUACCUAUAAGACUGGGAUAACUUCGGGAAACCGGAGCUAAUACCGGAUAAGAUGUUGAACCGCAGGGGUCAACAGUGAAAGACGGUCUUGCUGUCUCUUAUAGAUGGUUCCGCGCCGCAUUAGGGAGUUGGUACGGUAACGGCUUUACAAGGCAACGAUGCGUAGCCGACCUGAGAGGGUGAGCGGCCACACUGGAGCGGACACGCGGUCUAGACUUCUGCGGGAGGCAACAGUAGUAAAUCUGCCAGCAGGGGCGAAAGUCUGACGGAGCGCCGACGCGUGAGGCAAGAAGGUCGUGGGCGCGAAAAACUCUGUUAUGAGGGAAAAAGAAAUGUGUAAGUAACUAGCCACGUCGAGACGGAACCUAAAAAGAGCGCCGCGUAAAACCAUG